This 253-nucleotide ribosomal RNA is filed under the name uncultured bacterium. Its description in RNAcentral is "partial 16S ribosomal RNA". It matches the Rfam family "Bacterial small subunit ribosomal RNA", at positions 524 to 776 of the family's 1533-position model. The record is from RNAcentral.
UACGUAUGUCGCAAGCGUUAUCCGGAAUUAUUGGGCAUAAAGGGCAUCUAGGCGGCCAGGCAAGUCUGGGGUGAAAACUUGCGGCUCAACCGCAAGCCUGCCCUGGAAACUGCCUGGCUAGAGUGCUGGAGAGGUGGACGGAACUGCACGAGUAGAGGUGAAAUUCGUAGAUAUGUGCAGGAAUGCCGAUGAUGAAGAUAGUUCACUGGACGGCAACUGACGCUGAAGUGCGAAAGCUAGGGGAGCGAACAGG